RNAcentral lists this ribosomal RNA (375 nucleotides) under Acanthamoeba jacobsi. RNAcentral describes it as "SSU rRNA". It matches the Rfam family "Eukaryotic small subunit ribosomal RNA", at positions 788 to 1075 of the family's 1831-position model. The record is from RNAcentral. Lineage: Eukaryota; Discosea; Longamoebia; Acanthamoebidae.
CUCUGCCCCGAAUACAUUAGCAUGGGAUAUGGAAUAGGCCCUGUCCUCUUUUGCGUGGGUUUUCGAGGACCGGGUAAUGAUUAAUAGGGAUAGUUGGGGAUUGAUAUUUAAUUGUCAGAGGUGAAAUUCUUGGAUUUAUGAAAGAUCGAUUUGCGAAAGCAUCUGCCAAGGAUGUUUUCAUUAAUCAAGACGAAAGUUAGGGGAUCGAAGACGAUCAGAUACCGUCGUAGUCUUAACCAUAAACGAUGCCGACCAGCGAUUAGGAGACGUUGAAUACAAAACACCACCGUCGGGCGGCCGUCCUUGGCUGCGUCGGGCGCGCGCGCGCGCGUGCGGGUGGCGACAUCCGUGCGCGUGCGUGCCGUCCGGCGUGGC